Molecule: ribosomal RNA, 292 nt
Filed under: uncultured bacterium
Lineage: Bacteria
Description: partial 16S ribosomal RNA
Rfam family: Bacterial small subunit ribosomal RNA
Source: RNAcentral
GUGCCAGCAGCCGCGGUAAUACGGAGGGUGCAAGCGUUAUCCGGAUUCACUGGGUUUAAAGGGAGCGUAGGCGGAUUGAUAAGUCAGUGGUGAAAGCCCCAAGCUCAACUUGGGAAUUGCCAUUGAUACUGUUAAUCUUGAGUGCGGUUGAAGUGGGCGGAAUAUGACAUGUAGCGGUGAAAUGCUUAGAUAUGUCAUAGAACACCGAUUGCGAAGGCAGCUCACUAAGCCGCAACUGACGCUGAGGCUCGAAAGCGUGGGGAGCAAACAGGAUUAGAAACCCCAGUAGUCC